This 442-nucleotide ribosomal RNA is filed under the name uncultured bacterium. Its description in RNAcentral is "partial 16S ribosomal RNA". It matches the Rfam family "Bacterial small subunit ribosomal RNA", at positions 338 to 795 of the family's 1533-position model. The record is from RNAcentral.
CCUACGGGAGGCAGCAGUGGGGAAUAUUGGGCAAUGGGCGCAAGCCUGACCCAGCAACGCCGCGUGAAGGAAGAAGGCUCUCGGGUUGUAAACUUCUUUUGACAGGGAAGAGUAGAAGACGGUACCUGUCGAAUAAGCUACGGCGAACUACGUGCCAGCAGCCGCGGUAAUACGUAGGUGGCAAGCGUUGUCCGGAUUUACUGGGUGUAAAGGGUGUGUAGCCGGGUUGGCAAGUCAGAUGUGAAAUCCUGCGGCUUAACCGCAGAACUGCAUUUGAAACUGUUGGUCUUGAGUACUGGAGAGGCAGGCGGAAUUCCUGGUGUAGCGGUGAAAUGCUUAGAUAUUAGGAAGAACACCGAUGGCGAAGGCAGUCUACUGGACAGCAACUGACGGUGAGGCGCGAAAGCGUGGGGAGCAAACAGGAUUAGAUACCCUAGUAGUC